CGAACGCUGGCGGCAUGCCUAACACAUGCAAGUCGAACGAAGGCUUCGGCCUUAGUGGCGCACGGGUGCGUAACGCGUGGGAAUCUACCCUUAGGUACGGAAUAACUCAGGGAAACUUGUGCUAAUACCGUAUAAUGUCUUCGGACCAAAGAUUUAUCGCCUUUGGAUGAGCCCGCGUAGGAUUAGCUUGUUGGUGGGGUAAUGGCCUACCAAGGCGACGAUCCUUAGCUGGUCUGAGAGGAUGAUCAGCCACACUGGGACUGAGACACGGCCCAGACUCCUACGGGAGGCAGCAGUAAGGAAUGUUGGGCAAUGGACGAAAGUCUGACCCAGCCAUGCCGCGUGAAGGAUGAAGGUCCUCUGGAUUGUAAACUUCUUUUAUCUGGGGCGAAAAUCACCUUUCUAGGGUGCUUGACAGUACCAGAAGAAUAAGCACCGGCUAACUCCGCGCCAGCAGCCGCGGUAAUCUGAUGGCGCGAGG
This 481-nucleotide ribosomal RNA is filed under the name uncultured bacterium. Its description in RNAcentral is "bacterial SSU rRNA". It matches the Rfam family "Bacterial small subunit ribosomal RNA", at positions 30 to 539 of the family's 1533-position model. The record is from RNAcentral.